RNAcentral lists this ribosomal RNA (675 nucleotides) under Streptomyces sp. YIM 65729. Its description in RNAcentral is "bacterial SSU rRNA". It matches the Rfam family "Bacterial small subunit ribosomal RNA", at positions 56 to 749 of the family's 1533-position model. The record is from RNAcentral. Lineage: Bacteria; Bacillati; Actinomycetota; Actinomycetes; Kitasatosporales; Streptomycetaceae.
UGCAGUCGAACGAUGAAGCCUUUCGGGGUGGAUUAGUGGCGAACGGGUGAGUAACACGUGGGCAAUCUGCCCUUCACUCUGGGACAAGCCCUGGAAACGGGGUCUAAUACCGGAUAACACUCUGUCCCGCAUGGGACGGGGUUAAAAGCUCCGGCGGUGAAGGAUGAGCCCGCGGCCUAUCAGCUUGUUGGUGGGGUAAUGGCCUACCAAGGCGACGACGGGUAGCCGGCCUGAGAGGGCGACCGGCCACACUGGGACUGAGACACGGCCCAGACUCCUACGGGAGGCAGCAGUGGGGAAUAUUGCACAAUGGGCGAAAGCCUGAUGCAGCGACGCCGCGUGAGGGAUGACGGCCUUCGGGUUGUAAACCUCUUUCAGCAGGGAAGAAGCGAAAGUGACGGUACCUGCAGAAGAAGCGCCGGCUAACUACGUGCCAGCAGCCGCGGUAAUACGUAGGGCGCAAGCGUUGUCCGGAAUUAUUGGGCGUAAAGAGCUCGUAGGCGGCUUGUCACGUCGGAUGUGAAAGCCCGGGGCUUAACCCCGGGUCUGCAUUCGAUACGGGCUAGCUAGAGUGUGGUAGGGGAGAUCGGAAUUCCUGGUGUAGCGGUGAAAUGCGCAGAUAUCAGGAGGAACACCGGUGGCGAAGGCGGAUCUCUGGGCCAUUACUGACGCUGA